AGUCGAGCGGACAGAAGGGAGCUUGCUCCCGGAUGUUAGCGGCGGACGGGUGAGUAACACGUGGGUAACCUGCCUGUAAGACUGGGAUAACUCCGGGAAACCGGAGCUAAUACCGGAUAGUUCCUUGAACCGCAUGGUUCAAGGAUGAAAGACGGUUUCGGCUGUCACUUACAGAUGGACCCGCGGCGCAUUAGCUAGUUGGUGAGGUAACGGCUCACCAAGGCGACGAUGCGUAGCCGACCUGAGAGGGUGAUCGGCCACACUGGGACUGAGACACGGCCCAGACUCCUACGGGAGGCAGCAGUAGGGAAUCUUCCGCAAUGGACGAAAGUCUGACGGAGCAACGCCGCGUGAGUGAUGAAGGUUUUCGGAUCGUAAAGCUCUGUUGUUAGGGAAGAACAAGUGCAAGAGUAACUGCUUGCACCUUGACGGUACCUAACCAGAAAGCCACGGCUAACUACGUGCCAGCAGCCGCGGUAAUACGUAGGUGGCAAGCGUUGUCCGGAAUUAUUGGGCGUAAAGGGCUCGCAGGCGGUUUCUUAAGUCUGAUGUGAAAGCCCCCGGCUCAACCGGGGAGGGUCAUUGGAAACUGGGAAACUUGAGUGCAGAAGAGGAGAGUGGAAUUCCACGUGUAGCGGUGAAAUGCGUAGAGAUGUGGAGGAACACCAGUGGCGAAGGCGACUCUCUGGUCUGUAACUGACGCUGAGGAGCGAAAGCGUGGGGAGCGAACAGGAUUAGAUACCCUGGUAGUCCACGCCGUAAACGAUGAGUGCUAAGUGUUAGGGGGUUUCCGCCCC
This 797-nucleotide ribosomal RNA is filed under the name Bacillus aerius. Its description in RNAcentral is "bacterial SSU rRNA". It matches the Rfam family "Bacterial small subunit ribosomal RNA", at positions 60 to 839 of the family's 1533-position model. Lineage: Bacteria; Bacillati; Bacillota; Bacilli; Caryophanales; Bacillaceae. The record is from RNAcentral.